UUUUUUUGCUUCCAAACACUGAAAUUCCAGCCAAGAUUUUCUGGUUAUGGAACCUCUUNNNNNNNNNNNNNNNNNNNNNNNNAAUUAUUGAGGAAUGAAAAAUUUCCAUCUUAUCUUCCCUCUGUUAUUUUGCAGGGAGGGUGUGGUGUUAUCAGUUUGCAGAGGGGUGUAGGGGAGGUUUAGACUUGCACAGACUGGUGGGCCCUCUCUUCCCCAGAUUUGCUGUCAGUUGUUUUGAGGGAAAUGGGUAACCGGAUCUUAGAAUCCCUGGAUGUGACGAGAUAACAUUGACUAUAGGCAAUUCUAUUUACUGAUAAAAAUAAUAUAUAGUUUUCAAAUAGUCCCAUAGUGAGUCACUUCUAAAUAGUCAGAAAUACAUUUCCUGCAAUUCUUCUUAGAGAUUUCAAUUAAUCGUUUUAUAAAAUUACUCCCCUCGCUAAGGUAGUCCAACUGAAUGCUUGAAGAAUUAGCACCAUGCUCUUAAACUUGCCAUAACCUAGACUUCGGGGACCCUUCAGAUAAGAAUCAAAGUCCAGAGCACAUUCUCAUAAGAAAUGCUCUUAGCCUGACUUCCUGAAAGUAGCAAAGAAUAGUUUAAGAGUAAGAGUUAGACAAAAUCUACCGGCAAGCUUCCAGAAUGCCAGACCCCUGGCAAAAGGCACACAUCCCAAGUCAUGGAUGGAUGUUGCUGGAGCCUAAACACCACAAGCCAAAGAAACUGGGGAGCUUUGAAGAAAAAUUCAAGAGAUUUGGAUGCCUCAUCCUGCUGGGCUUCUCAGCUCUGCAACUGCAAGCCUUUGAAAUCAUCUGAACCUCAGUUUCCUUUUCUGGAAAGAGAGGUUAAUGACUGCCCCACCUAGCCUGCAGAGUGGCUGUGACAGUCACAUCAGAUCAUCUCCCAGCAAACAUCUUCUGAAUUAACAGAUUGAUGCCGUUGGCAGGCUGUCCCUCCCACUGGUUCUGGGACUCCACGAAGCAACUCUCUUCUGAUUCCCUCCCAGCACUUCCUCCCCACUUGGCUCCUGUGCACAGGUAGAAGUGCGAGGAAAUGAAGCAACAGGUAUUUUAGAAAGGCCAGAAUCUUAUCCAGUUUCAUAUACGAUUCUCUAAAUCUCCCUCCUGCAUUUUCCUCAUUAAGUCCCCAAAUUCUCCAGUCCUAUCUCCUUACCCAUCUCAAGUAACAGAAUUGGUUAAUUCUAGCUGACCUAGAUAAGCUAUCUUUCCUCCAUGCCUGGAAAUCAGGCCAUCACUGUGUUCCUAAAGGCUCUAUGCAAGGAGAUUACUGGUUAUCUUCUCCAAAAGAUGAAGAACGAGACAUUCCUAUUAGAGAAGGGAAACUGCAAAGACUUCUAGGGCUUUCUCUAGGGACCAGAGAGAGAUAGAGACUUGUGUCCCCAGGUACAGAGGUCCCACCUCUCUGGAAGCCCUUUGGGGAGAUGGCAGGACCUCAGGAAGAAAUAACAACCAAAGCUUUGCCAAACGGUCAUAGAGCCACCAGUCUCCAAGGACGAUGAGGACCCGGCAAAUGAAUGGACCAGUGGUCACCCAGGCGGACCACAGACCAGAGGGCUCCACCUGAAUACUCUGGGUGGACGUUCCCAGGAACUGGGAGGAACAGGGCAUAUUCCAGGAAGGCCUGGGACUGACUCUCCCACCACGCUGGCAGGAUGGCUACAAUAGCAUAUCAAAUUUAAUUUAAAGUAAUAAAAGAAAUGUGACAUUUCUUAUGCCUGAUCAUGUGGCAUAGAAUUUGCAUGCUUGUUGUUCUUUCUGGGACGUUCUGGCAGAUAACUCUGCUUUCUUUGGAUGCUCCAGAGUUUGGCGGAAACGGUUCUAAAGAUCAGCAGAAGCUCUUUCUGAAGUUAACUUCCGCUCCCACCCCUGGUGAGAAUUUACCCAGGGAAAUACCAACCCAGCAAGUAUUUCCUUCAUAACCUGAAACUCAGGCUCUGAGUGGCCUACGUCCCCUUCACUCACAAGUGCUUCUCAGCCAGUCUCUAGUGGAGAAGAACAUGUUCUCUCUCUUACAUCCAAAAAGUUAUACACAAUAAUCGCACAAGAAAUAAAUGCAAAACAUCGUGACAGCAAGCACUGUCCCUGAUUCUCAGGCAAGAACAGCUGUUGAACUGCUCUACUAACUAAACUCAUACGCCUUUGGAAAUAGAGGUGUUAUUGUCCUUAUUCCACUCCAGGGAAACUGAGGCCCAGCAGUGUUAACUAAUUUUCUAAAGAUCUCAAGCUGGUAAGUGGCAGAGCUAGCGUUAGAACCCAACUCUGCCUUCUAUUCUCCUGGGCUAUUUAAUCCCAAUUAUCUGUUCUUCAGCAAAACUCUUCUUUUUCUGUGUGUGUGUGUGUUCGUGUGUGUGUGUGUGUGACGCAACGCUCAGCUGCUGAAUGUGGAAGAGAGAGCACAGAUUUUAAAUAUAACCAUUGCCAUAUUUGUUUACGGCUGGGAGCAGCAAGUCUGAGUUCCAGGAGAUGUCCUCUGAGCUCGGGCUGAAAGGUGCCCGUCGCUGAUUUAAUGUGAUAAUCAGGGGUUGUGUCCUGGGACAGACUGUGAUGCAUUGGCUGUUGUUCUGCCCUUUGAUGUUCCUUGGAAUUUGUCAAAACAUGCUUGGGCCCUCGGCAAAGUGCCAUAGCGUCACCGUCCCCCUCUCUGACCAGGAGCGCAGGGCAGGGGCGGGGCGGCCGCCAGAAGUGAAGGUCAGCACCGGGUCAGAGGGUGCAGACCUUUCCAGGGGACAGCCGGCGGCCGCCGCUCCCCACGGCACACCCAGGGGCCCUCUGUCUGUGGGGGAUAAGCAGCUUUGCAGUCUCGGACUGAAGGGGGCCUGCAGACCCCUCCUGUCUCAGCUCAGCCGCAGAGCCUCUGGAGCCAGGAAUCGUCUUGCACAGCCUCCGUCACGGGGGAUGGCGCUGCAGGCAGGGAAGGCGGGCACGGUGGGCCCGCUGAGUUCACUGCCUCCAGGACGCUCCCUCUCAGGACUGGGCACCGGCAGCCCAAGGUCAGGAGCCAGCCCCUGCCAUGCCUUUAGGGCACUGUGCUCGCGGCAAAGGCAGCGGGCCGGAGGGCGGCCAGAUGACUCACGCAGGGUCUCGCCAGCUGGACAGCGAAGCCUAUUUCCCAAGGCCGGUCUGGGCAGCGUAAAGAUUUGGAACAUUGCUGGCACCCGGCACUGGGGAUCUGUAGAGCUUUCUUGGGAGCAGCUCAUCUGAAGGGUCACCCUGUCCUAGAAGUGAGGAAUGACAAGGUUUGACUGUCCCAGUUGUCCUCUUGGAGAAGGAGAGAGUUGUUGGCCUAGAAGCAUGUUGGGUUUUUCUGUUGGGCUGCUUCACGUUGGCCUCUGAGGGGAUGGGGUCUAUCAAAUGGGGUUUCAGGGGGUCCCGUUUACUGUGACAUUGGGAUCAUUGUUCUAAUCUUGCCGCAUAGGAUGACAUCACCUACACUGUGAAGCCAACCUCCCAGAGAAUCAAGAAAAGUCAUAUAACUCUUCAUUUCAUUUUUAGCUCUCCAAACCUUAGUUUCCAGAUCUGUAAUGUGAGAUUUGUAAUAUCCUAGCCUGGGGAGUUCUUUAAGAGCUAAAUGUGGUUAUGCACAUUAAAAUAUUUAAGCGCAGUGCCUGGAACAGAGUGGGACUCAAUAAAUGUUAAUUUUCCCCCCUUUCUUCCUUGCCCCCUUGGUUCUCUGGACCCAUUGCCAUAUCCUCCCAAUGUCUAAAUUAAAAUGAACACCAUUUUGCAAUAACUAAAGCUUAGGAAAGAUGUGACAUUGUCACCCAUGACAAAGCCAGGGACUCAGCAUGAUAGCUGGGUAUUGCCCAGUCUACUGGAAGCCACAUUCUAAUCCUCCACCCUGGGGUAGAAAAUCAUGCUGAGCACCUAUGGGUGGCCUCACCUGGUGAGGGUGACAGUGUUACAACUUGCGGAGGCAAAGAGGCAAAGAUUUAAAAUAUGAGGCUCGGAGAGCCCAGACAUGGGUCUGCAGGGGAAAGGCCUCAGUCCAGAGAAGCCAUUAAUUUCCCUUCCAUUUCGGAUGGAAGGAAAAGCUUCUUUGCCAACUUCAGGGACCCAGAAAGGACCACUUCUUACUGCAAACCAACAAUUUCUGACAGGUAAGUGGCCUGAAGGGUCACUUGGGAUUAACUACUGGGAAGCAAUUCCAGAAAGGGGCCACAGACAUCGAGACAGUGUGGCUCCCUGUGCUGAGAAGGUGACGUCAGCCAUGCAGAUAAAUUCCAGAGACUCUAUCACCCCUCCAACAAUGAUUUACCAGCUUGUAAAUUGUUUCCGAGCCCUUUCCAUACUGACAACCUCUGGGGACUGUCCAGGCAUCCUGGAAAAUUACAGCAAGAGGGUAUCUUUCCGAUUCUUCUUUACCCAGUGUCUAGUUUCUUUAAGACUUAGUCUAAUUUCUCUCUGUUCUAUCAAUUAUUGUUAAAUGAAGAAGCUUUUUCCAGUACUAAAUGCUGAAUGCUGCGUAGAAUUGCCUGGAAAUAGCGCCGAAUAUGGGUUCUGAUGAGAAAAUAUGCCGGAGUUGGAUGUUGACCCCAGCAUUGAAAUUACUACAGUUUUCCUCUCUGAGUUCUCUCUAAGUCAUUUCUCAAGGGCUGCUUGUGGGUACUUGUGUAUCCAUUCUACAGAUCGAGAAACUGAGGUAAAGACAGACCAGAUACAAUCUGCUUAUGGGCAUUUGGCAAAAUAGCUACCAAAUCAAUCAAAGGUCAUGAUCUUUGCCUCCAGACCUCUUUGCCUCCCUUCUGCGAGAAAACAAAAUAAGAUUCAGGAGAUGAAGCAACAGUAGAGCAGAAGGGUCUAAAUGGAGCAGGGUUCCCUUGAUCUAUGAGCCCCUGGUGUCCUUUAGGGGGCUCUGUGAGAGAAAAGAGAUCCCCAUGGGCUGAGGAAAGGGCGUUGUAUGGGAACCAAUCAAAUUCAAGUAAACAUUUGUUACCAGCCCACAUCACUUAGUGAAGAAGGCAAUCUACCCUUACAAAGAGAUUUUGAAAACUAUAUAACAUCAUUCCACUUGCGGCUGACAACACAGCUAUGAGUACAAUCUUAGUAUUGCCAUUUCCCAGACAAGAAAACAGAGGUUUGGAGAAGGUACCUUGCCCAAUGUCAUACAGUGAAUAAGCAGUAAAACCAGACCACCCAGCACCCCAGUCCUCUCUGAAUACAAGUCUAGUGCUCUCUGCCCUACAUUUCAGACAUUCGGACAUCGCAGCAUUUGCCAGAGCUUGUAUCAUUGGACGCAAAAGGAAACAUGUAUUAAAAAGGACUCUUGACUGGAACUAGGGGAGGUAACUUAUUAAAGGAAUGUUCAGUUGAGACGCAAAUGGCAGAGGGAUUCUAGGAUGGGGAUCAGAAGCCCUAAAAGUCUUUCUUUGCCCAGAGACAUCCCUUAGAGUGUCUGUCCACAAAGAGGGUCUCAUGUUCACUCUAGGGUGGGCCAGGGUAGCCCCUGAAACCUUGAACUCUGGAGCCUUGCGUGGAAGCUCUGGGAUGUUUCGAGCCUCCUGAAAUCCCAGGAUCUGAUCCAAGAAGUCAAACCUGGGCCUCACAAUCCCCUCAGGAUUAUGCAAGAGACCCAGCCUCCUGCUCUCUGUUGCAUUCUUCACACACAGAGCUGGGCCUUGGGAGGUGAAGUGGGGACAAGACAACGUCCCCAGGUGUCAACUCCAGUCUCGGCGCAGACCAGGGGAGCUCAGACCACAGUGAAAUGACUUGCCCUGGCCAACACAGUCAUAAGCAGAGUCGAACACAGUCCAGACUAAAAAGGCGGAAAACCAGUAGGCAAGGAAACCGUUUUGUCAUCCAAGGACAAUAAAGUUUAUGUAUUCCCAGAUGUGGGUCCUCCCACUUAAUCAAAGCCGAGGCCCAGUCCAGUGAAAAGAGCUUUUCUCCAGCAAAAUGGGAAAGCAGCUUCCUUGGGACUAAAUUUAGACUUCACCCACAGGGGAAGGGCUCCAGUUCUUCAGGGCUGCCGACAGAACAAGCAAAUGGUUCAGUGUCCCAGCUGGCCACACCACAGCCAGAGCCAGAGCGAGCCAGCUCUGAAAUGUUCCUAGGCCAGCAGUGUGGGCUGUGCUGUCCCCUGGGCUGGGCUCUGCCCCUGGCUUGGUCACAGCUUGGAGGGUGUGUGGCUCUGGGCACUCUGCUGGGUGUCAGGUCUCACACUGCCUAGGGGAGCUGCUCAAUAGCCAUACUCCCAAGACCAGGGCUCAGAGCUCCAGAGGUGCUAGAAAGCCAGGCUUCUGCCAUCAAAUUUAUCUUAAAGGUAUCUUGAAGCUCCAACUUCGAGAAGCCAAUGCUUGGCAAAUGACCAAAUUAAUAUACAGAGGGGUGUGGUUCCCAAGAAGGAAGAAUAAAUUACCCAUGGUCAUGUAAGGCAUCAUGGGAAAGGUCGGGGUUUUCUCCUGGGCAGGGCCUUUUCCCCCAUCCAGAGCCCUCAGCGUCCUCUCCCUGAGUCAGUGCUUCUUCUCGGAGGCCCCAAAUCAGUCAUAGCAGAUGCCCUGUCUUGGGAAAAUGUUAAUGUGGUGCCUACCAAAGGAAAUCAAGUUCCAUUCACUCCUCUCCUUGGCCAAAUAACAGGAAGGAUGGAAGAAGCUGGCAUUUUCCCAACAGCACCCCAGACUCAAGAUCUGGCUUCCCACCCUGGACUCUAAGGAAGUGUGUGCCAGCACACGCCAAUUCACUACUGUCAAAUCUAAUCACAACUUAGACCAGGCAGGGCUGGGGGUGCUUGGAGGGGAAGUGAUAACAAUAAAAACUGACUGCAUCUUUCUCACCCAGCAUUCCUACAGACAUGAACCAAGGUUUGCUUAGGAGGUGAAACAAGAUGAAAAUUUUGCCUUCUGGAACAUAUCCCAUAGCACAUAGACAAAGGUCCACCACCACCUCCUUGCAGGUCACCCACAGACAGAGCUAAUCGCCAUCUCCACUGGGCUCUCAUGGCCCUGCACCCUUAGCUCAGUUACAGCACAUACUCCUCUGGGGGUCAUUACUGGUUUACAUCAGUCCUGGGAGAGACUGGGAAGGGUCCUGAUCUUACUUCAUUUUGAAUCUCCAAUUCCUGGCAUAUAGUAGGCCUUCCACUGGCAUUAGAUGAACACAUGAAUGAAUGAACGAAUAAAUGACACUCAAAUGUAAAAACCACCUCGUUUAAAUACCUUGGUGCCUUCCUUAAUAAAAGAUGAUGGUAUGAUAUGAAAGUUAAUAGAUGUCCAUCUAAAGGUAUCCCAGGAUUGCUCAACCACCAAUGAUGGAACAAACAUGGUCCUCUCCAGAAUGAAUAAGCAUCUGCUAAUGUUUGAUAUCCUCUCUGGUUCUCAUUAACUGGAAAGAACUGGGCUGCCUGUGUGUCUCUCUCUCUCUCUCUCUCUCUCUCUCUGUUUCUUUGGAAGUGGUUGCACCAGUUUAUUCUAGUUUGGUUUCCCUGGCAGCAGGUUAAAGCAAGAUAUCAAAGAUCCCCUUGCACUCAUAAUCUGCAGUGAAGCCCCACUAGAGACUUCCUAGCCUCUCUAUACCUGCACUGCUGACCUAACUACCAAUCAGAAUCAUCAGAGGGAAUUCCUAGACCCUACCACGUGGACUCAGAAGAUCAGUUUCUUGGUAGAGAACGCCAUCCACCAGUCCUGGUAUGGAAUACAUAUAGUGACAGUGCAGCCAACAGAGAAUAUAGUGGGAGAAUUCCCACCUGAGGAGUAGAAGAAUUCUCCAAUAACUUACAGCAAUUACUUUACCUUACAGCAGCAAUGCCAAGGACAUAAAUAUUCCAAAGAGAAGCAUGCCUACGUCAUCAGUCCUGAGCCAUGAUUUUUUCAUCAUUUUACCCAGCCAAGCUAAGAAAAAGAAAGAGAAUACAAAUU
Molecule: long non-coding RNA, 7865 nt
Filed under: Sus scrofa (pig)
Lineage: Eukaryota; Metazoa; Chordata; Mammalia; Artiodactyla; Suidae
Description: lncRNA (ENSSSCG00005039468.1)
Source: RNAcentral